RNAcentral lists this ribosomal RNA (497 nucleotides) under uncultured bacterium. Its description in RNAcentral is "partial 16S ribosomal RNA". It matches the Rfam family "Bacterial small subunit ribosomal RNA", at positions 28 to 507 of the family's 1533-position model. The record is from RNAcentral.
GAUGAACGCUGGCGGCGUGCCUAAUACAUGCAAGUCGAGCGAACGGACGAGAAGCUUGCUUCUCUGAUGUUAGCGGCGGACGGGUGAGUAACACGUGGAUAACCUACCUAUAAGACUGGGAUAACUUCGGGAAACCGUAGCUAAUACCGGAUAAUAUUUUGAACCGCAUGGUUCAAAAGUGAAAGACGGUCUUGCUGUCACUUAUAGAUGGAUCCGCGCGGCAUUAGCUAGUUGGUAAGGUAACGGCUUACCAAGGCAACGAUGCAUAGCCGACCUGAGAGGGUGAUCGGCCGCACUGGAGCUGAGACGCGGUCCAGACUCCUACGGGAGGCAGCAGUAGGGAAUCUUCCGCAAUGGGCGAAAGCCUGACGGAGCAACGCCGCGUGAGUGAUGAAGGUCUUCGGAUCGUAAAACUCUGUUAUUAGGGAAGAACAGAUGUGUAAGUAACGGUGCACGUCUUGACGGUACCUAAUCAGAAAGCCACGGCUAACUACGUG